GGGUAUCGAAACUUCCUUCACGGUUGUGAUUUUCUUUGUUUAAACUUGAUGAAUUAUUAAUGAGUUUGAGAAGCAAAAGAAGAACGAUGGAGCGGCGAGCGGCAAAGCCGCGACCACGACAGACACGAGGAAAGGCCAAAAAAGAAUGGGGUUUGUCCUGUCUCGCUCUAUUUUCAUCCUCGUUUUUUUUUCCUAUUUUGUAUAAUUUUAGUUUUCCCUGUCUCGCGGAGGAUUUGAGGAACAAAACCUACUGCCCGUAGUCUGUCUUUUUUGGACCAGGUCAAUUUUAUUUCUGUUUGAAAGCACUAAAUAAGUUAAUUUUAAUUUCAACCACCCGGUUGUGAAUUUCUUCUUACUUCUUGUUAUAUAAUUGCAACCCGUCUCAUCAUUGCCACGUGACUAUCAAUUAACCAAAGGAAAAGUAAGAGACUGUUAGCGGACUAGGACUGCAUGUUUCUCAGCGUGACAUUUGUGAUUCGCGUUACAAAUGUAACUCGGUGUUAUUGAUUUCAGAAGGUCAAUCGCCUCGUGCGUUGUGAAAAUAAAGCAUCUGGUUUGUCAUUUGAUCAGCUGUUGUUUUAAGCGCGGGGAAAUUAUCAAAUACGAGUUUCCUCUUUCGUUUAUAUUUUCUACUACCCCUUUGCUACUAAGGUGAUUUCUUCUUUGGCUUAUUUUCUCGAAACGCAAAUAUGUUUAUAUUCCAUAGCCUGAAAACGUCCCAACCUUUCAACCCUCCAUUCCUAAGCCUCAUCACCUCUCACCGAAAUUUUGGCCUAGAAAUUUUUCACCAGGCCGUCGUAUAAAAAACUGUCCCCCAAAUGCACUACCUCGACCAUAUGUUUUGCCCUCCGGGAGAGGGGAGGGGGAAGGGGGGGGGGAGAGACUCCCACAUAAAAAGGACGGGGGGUGCUCGUCGUACGUUUUAGGAGAUGUAAGAGUGGUUUUGGUAUCUCUUGGUACCUUUUAGGGUGUUGAGCCGAAAGUAAUAUGACAGGAGAUCAUGUGUUGUUUUAGAAUUGGUGCCUCUUUUAAUAGGGGUGAAAACAUCUCAAGCCACGCUCACAAAACAGGGUCUUGGUACCUCUUAGCCGCUUAGGAGUCAAAUUCUUUUCAAAUUUCCGACGACCAUCCCUGUCCUUUUACAUGGUAGUUCCCCCCGGGAUCUUUCGUGGUCGUAGCGUUUCUGACAUAAUCCCAGGUUUCAUGUCAUCAAUUAUCACGUGCUUGUGUAAUGUAAGCAGGUGAUAACUUUGUGACAACAGGUGGCGUGAUGUUUGUUUUUCAAAUUCGUGUUCUAAAUUUUUGAGCCAUGAAAAUCACUUCUGUAGUUUGUGUUCCAUUUGUGAUCAAAGUCUGUAAAAGAGAGCUGCCGGUAGAAAGAAAAAAUUUACCAGUCUUUCUACAGACGAAAUAUCUCGGCUACUGGCCGAAAAAAGGCGAAAACAACUCAAAAGAGGAUCAGGACUGCUUUGGCAGCUGUUGCCGAACUCUGCACAUAAAACCCGAAGACCAGAAUGCCACCUUAAGCUUUGUCUCAACAGGUUUUGACUGAAAGUGUAUGGAAGGAGAGAGUGCAAACCAAACAAAAUCACGUAGAAGCUACAAUGGCCCAGAAAACGUUGUACCAUUAAGUGCAAAAGCCAAUAUCAUCUGGCAGUCUGUCAAAAAGACAUCCACAAACAUCAGAGGCGUCACUGGUGAAUCUUAGCUGAGAGUUUUCACAGCACCAA
Orbicella faveolata is the source of this 1730-nucleotide long non-coding RNA. RefSeq lists it as uncharacterized. NCBI's taxonomy places the organism in Eukaryota, Metazoa, Cnidaria, Anthozoa, Scleractinia, Merulinidae. The record is from RefSeq and is a predicted model, not a curated record.